RNAcentral lists this ribosomal RNA (497 nucleotides) under uncultured bacterium. Its description in RNAcentral is "partial 16S ribosomal RNA". It matches the Rfam family "Bacterial small subunit ribosomal RNA", at positions 28 to 507 of the family's 1533-position model. The record is from RNAcentral.
GAUGAACGCUGGCGGCGUGCCUAAUACAUGCAAGUCGAGCGAACGGACGAGAAGCUUGCUUCUCUGAUGUUAGCGGCGGACGGGUGAGUAACACGUGGAUAACCUACCUAUCAGACUGGGAUAACUUCGGGAAACCGGAUCUAAUACCGGAUAAUAUUUUGAACCGCAUGGUUCAAAAGUUAAAGACGGUCUUGCUGUCACUUAUAGAUGGAUCCGCGCUGCAUUAGCUAGUUGGUAAGGUAACGGCUUACCAAGGCAACGAUGCAUAGCCGACCUGAGAGGGUGAUCGGCCACACUGGAACUGAGACACGGCCCAGACUCCUACGGGAGGCAGCAGUAGGGAAUCUUACGCGAUGGGCGAAAGCCGGACGGAGCAACGCCGCGUGAGUGAUGAAGGUCUUCGGCUCGUAAAGCUCUGUUAGUAGGGAAGAACAUAUGUGUAAGUAACUGUGCACAUCUUGACGGUACCUAAUCAGAAAGCCACGGCUAACUACGUG